CCUACGGGCGGCAGCAGUGAGGAAUUUUCGUCAAUGGGGGCAACCCUGAACGAGCAACGCCGCGUGCAGGAAGAAGGUUUUCGGAUCGUAAACUGCUUUUCUCGGGGAAGAGAACGGACGGUACCCGAGGAAGAAGCCCCGGCUAACUACGUGCCAGCAGCCGCGGUAAUACGUAGGGGGCAAGCGUUGUCCGGAUUUAUUGGGCGUAAAGCGCACGCAGGCGGUCUCUUACGUUUUGAGUGACAGGUGGUGGCUCAACUGCCACAGGCCUUGAAAUACGGGGAGACUUGAGGACUUCAGAGGGAUGCUGAAUUCCAGGUGGAGCGGUGAAAUGCGUAGAGAUCUGGAAGAACACCAAUGGCGAAGGCAGCAUCCUGGGAAGUAUCUGACGCUCAGGUGCGAAAGCUAGGGGAGCGAACGGGAUUAGAUACCCGAGUAGUC
This 441-nucleotide ribosomal RNA is filed under the name uncultured bacterium. RNAcentral describes it as "bacterial SSU rRNA". It matches the Rfam family "Bacterial small subunit ribosomal RNA", at positions 338 to 795 of the family's 1533-position model. The record is from RNAcentral.